Molecule: non-coding RNA, 376 nt
Organism: Schizosaccharomyces pombe (fission yeast)
Lineage: Eukaryota; Fungi; Ascomycota; Schizosaccharomycetes; Schizosaccharomycetales; Schizosaccharomycetaceae
Source: the annotation of a GenBank genome assembly
UGACUGUCCACCAACUUAUGACAAUAAGUGCUUAGCCUCAACUUGUAAAUAUGGAAAAAUUUGGAAAAGGUAUAUUGAAAUCCUCGGAUUUAACAGGAUAUUGAUAUUGAAUGUACCCGAAUAGUAUUGAUGAAGAUAACAAGAAAACCAGCGUCUGAUAAAUACCGUCCAACUGAUUUGCAAUUGCAAAACCAGUAGUCUGCAGUAUAGUCAUAAAUCCUGGUAAUUCCCAAUCGGUUCAGUAAUUUCCGUACCUAUUUUCCUCUUCUAAGAGAAAACAAGAUCAGAAAGAUCAAAAUUACAAUUAGCGUAUUGAAACCACCAAACACUGUAACAAUGCAACACAAUUAUUUAAAGAAUUGAAUUUAAUUAUACA